This 440-nucleotide ribosomal RNA is filed under the name uncultured bacterium. RNAcentral describes it as "bacterial SSU rRNA". It matches the Rfam family "Bacterial small subunit ribosomal RNA", at positions 338 to 795 of the family's 1533-position model. The record is from RNAcentral.
CCUACGGGAGGCAGCAGUGGGGAAUAUUGGGCAAUGGGCGAAAGCCUGAUCCAGCAAUGCCGCGUGUGUGAAGAAGGUCUUCGGAUUGUAAAGCACUUUCGACGGGGACGAUGAUGACGGUACCCGUAGAAGAAGCCCCGGCUAACUUCGUGCCAGCAGCCGCGGUAAUACGGAGGGGGCUAGCGUUGCUCGGAGUGACUGGGCGUAAAGGGCGCGUAGGCGGUUUAUGCAGUCAGAUGUGAAAUCCCCGGGCUUAACCUGGGAACUGCAUUUGAGACGCGUAGACUAGAGGUCGAGAGAGGGUUGUGGAAUUCCCAGUGUAGAGGUGAAAUUCGUAGAUAUUGGGAAGAACACCGGUGGCGAAGGCGGCAACCUGGCUCGAUACUGACGCUGAGGCGCGAAAGCGUGGGGAGCAAACAGGAUUAGAUACCCCCGUAGUC